RNAcentral lists this ribosomal RNA (215 nucleotides) under uncultured bacterium. RNAcentral describes it as "partial 16S ribosomal RNA". It matches the Rfam family "Bacterial small subunit ribosomal RNA", at positions 122 to 334 of the family's 1533-position model. The record is from RNAcentral.
CAAACCCUGCCCUGAAGCGGGGGACAACAACUCGAAAGAGUUGCUAAUACCGCAUGUGUAUCGGAAUGGCAUCAUUCAGGAUACAAAGCCGCAAGGCACUUCAGGAUGGGCCCGCGGCCUAUCAGCUAGUUGGUGAGGUAACGGCCCACCAAGGCUUCGACGGGUAGCUGGUCUGAGAGGACGAUCAGCCGGAUUGGGACUGAGAUACGGCCCAG